GGCCGAAAAUAAAUGGGUCACAAAGUGACAGGUUGCCAAAAGGGCCGCCGAUAAGGGACCGACAAAACUAGUGUUUCAUUUCGCAGAAUCGACUACGACGACGACGACGGAAAGUGUGUGCGUGUGCGUGAAAAUGAUUGUCGCAAAGUGUCCUCUCCCCUGGGUUAAGGAGCAGUGUCGGAAUUUUGGACCGGGAUCAAAGGAAAGAAAUCAGAUCUCAGUGCAGUUGAAUGGCGACUGGGUAAGAAAAAUAAAGAUUUAUCAGCAAGCUUAAUGGACUCAAACCGGCACUUACCUCAUCACAUAUUCUACAAAUUAGUCACGGUUGUCGUUUUCCAUUCACAAGAGCGAGCCCCCACAGGAGGAGGAGGACAUCCUGGGCGAAAGUAAAACAAGCCGGCCUUAAAAAACGGCCCACAAACCAUGAAAGGCAAAAGGAGAGAAACAAAAAAAAGGACGAACUCCUCAGAGAGGACCCACAGAAAGUCUUAAGUCGACGACGG
This is a long non-coding RNA of Culex quinquefasciatus (southern house mosquito), 503 nucleotides long. RefSeq lists it as uncharacterized. Lineage: Eukaryota; Metazoa; Arthropoda; Insecta; Diptera; Culicidae. The transcript is spliced from 3 exons. The record is from RefSeq and is a predicted model, not a curated record.